AGAAUGUGCUCAAUGUUAAAAAAGCCAAAACAGUAAAGAAGUUACAAUUUAGAAAAUUUCAGAAAGCCCCUUGAUAGCUGCAUAUUACUUUUACCGGCUCGGGCCCAGGCGCGCGGCAGUCCCAGGCAGCUCCGGCGUGGCAACCCCCAGACAGUUCACGCGGCAAAGAAUCACGCUGGUCAACCUCAGGGACCUCAUAUUUUGUUUAGAAAAUGAGCGCGAGACAAGCCAUUCACUGUUGCUCUACAAAGCAUUCCUUAAGUGACACAGGAGGGAGCACGGUGUUUUUGACGAGACGCCUGGGGACAUUUUUAUAUAUUUGCAGAUUACGCCUUUUUGUAAGAAGCAAAUGGGAUAUUGUUUAAAAACAGCCACUUCUUUACAAUGGAACAGUUUUAUAUUCCCGUUUCUAAAUCAGCUCAGUGUGGAAGAAAACCUGUUUCUGCAGCAGAGAGAAUACAGAGGCCUGUGGAUACUCCUAAAGGACAACUAAACCCGAGCUCAUCCUUGAUUGAGUGGCCUUCUUGCCAAACAAGCCAUAUAUAAAGACUGAUGGAAUCGCUUAGCAAAUAACUCGCUGCGCUCUGUCACCGUGUAGCAGUUUCUACCUUAUUUGUGCGUUUUGGUUUAGUUGAGCCUAACUUACUGCGUAGGUGUGUGUCUGCAGCCGAUGACCUCCUUUCACUUAUUUUAUUUUUGUAAUAGUCAGUUGGCAAAGCAAACUGAUUUUUAGACUAUUUAUCUCCCUUCCUUCCCCUCCCCUCCCCUCAAAACUCUCCAGGAACACACAGUUCAUUGCAGCUCCGUCACCUUGGAGGGUGACCGCAUUUCUGCUCGGUGGAGGCUGGGAGUCCAGCCGGGGCGGGCUCCUCUGAAUGUGCUCAGCAUCUGUACAAAUGCAUUUUGUUUGCUACAGUUUGUGAAGCUGUAAAGUUAAGAGAAAUGAGAACCUUUUCAGCAUAAAUAUAUUUUACUUGCACUGUGUUUUUUAGCUACAAGUGAAAACUUAGAUUAAAUAAAAUCAGAGUUGAGAAGAAUCAUCAAGAGACUGUUUCUCAGUGUGAAUCAAGUGUUGAAAAAUGGUUGGUGUAUUUUGUCAGUAAUUGUACAUAACUUUUGGCACAUAACAUAAAAUGGCUAUGUAAACUAUAAUUAUUUUGCUAAGAGACUGUAUGCAAGCUGUGGGCCGACUUUACAGACGCCCAGAGCAAAGCCCCUUCUUUGUACCUAUUUUUUUAUUACAAAUAUACUAAUUGGUUCUUUAUAUUUUCAGAGGUUAUUGUAUUAAAUUGUCUAUUGAUAGUACUUUUAUGAUUGUAAAUACUUGGCUUUCUCCGUGUGAAUUCUCACAUUAGACUUUAAUUCGCGCGUGUGAACUGAACACUGAUCAGUAUUUUUUAUCAACACCUGAGAACUGUUACACCUUUUAUUUUAUCUUUUAGAAAAUCCCUG
RNAcentral lists this long non-coding RNA (1452 nucleotides) under Heterocephalus glaber (naked mole-rat). Its description in RNAcentral is "lncRNA (ENSHGLG00000034807.1)". Lineage: Eukaryota; Metazoa; Chordata; Mammalia; Rodentia; Bathyergidae. The record is from RNAcentral.